Molecule: long non-coding RNA, 19634 nt
Filed under: Solanum tuberosum (potato)
Lineage: Eukaryota; Viridiplantae; Streptophyta; Magnoliopsida; Solanales; Solanaceae
Description: long non-coding RNA (STUB_LNC007079)
Source: RNAcentral
CUGGUUCUCAUUAUAUUGGGCCUUUGGGCCCAUUUUUCGCCACCUGGAUCUGCUGGCACAAAGAGAUUGAGCUUUGGCCCGUUUGCAUUUUGAAAGCAUGUAUACACAUGCGCAUAUGGUGUAUACGAACGUAUACGGUCCAUUUAUGGACUUUCUCGAAUCUGUAAUUAAUUCUCGCCCCUAUAAUUUCUCCCUUUUCACUUCGAAGAAGAUGAUGCUUUUGAAGAGAUUCGACUCGAUGCGAAGAUGGAGUCCAAUGGACUCGGGUGGUGUCACAUGAAGUAAAAUAAAAUAAAUUAGUGAGGGGGCCAUGUUUAGAUGAAAUAAAUAUAUUUGAUGCAUGCCAUAUUUUGGUAAAUUAAUUAGUAUAAAUUAUAGGAACCACAUAUUAUAAGUACUAAAUAACAUCCUAUCCCUUCUAGUUUUCUAUUUACCAAAAAUCCCUUAAAAAUGAUGUUUGCGGGAUACAUAGAGUUGUGCACGGGAUACAUUAGGUUUAAUACAUCCCACAUAGCGGGAUACAUAGCGUUGUGCACGGGAUACAUUAGGUUUGAUACAUUCCACAUAGCGGGAUACAUAGCGUUGUGCACGGGAUACAUUAGGUUUGAUACAUUCCACAUAGCGGGAUACAUAGCGUUGUGCACGGGAUACAUUAGGUUUGAUACAUUCCACAUAGCGGGAUACAUAGCGUUGUGCACGGGAUACAUUAGGUUUGAUACAUUCCACAUAGCGGGAUACAUAGCGUUGUGCACGGGAUACAUUAGGUUUGAUACAUUCCACAUAGCGGGAUACAUAGCGUUGUGCACGGGAUACAUUAGGUUUGAUACAUUCCACAUAGCGGGAUACAUAGCGUUGUGCACGGGAUACAUAGGUAAAUAAGGGAUUUUUGAAAAUUUUGAAAUAAGUAGGGAUAAAUGGAUAUUAAGGUAAGGAAAGGAGUGUAGUUAAGUAAUUUGUCCAAUUAAUUAUUAGAACACCUAUUCAAAACACCUAGUUGGAGAAAAGGCUAUCAAUAGCUUAUCUCAAGCCGACAACAAUUUAAUUUGAAAGCAAUAAAACACAUACAUAUGAAGAAUUGAUCUUAAUCCUACGACAGUAAGCAAUUAGGCAAUUAAGUCACUACAGGAGCUUAAGUAUUUUAACAAAAUAAUAAUAAUAAUAAAUAAAUAAAUAAAUUAAAUAAAAUAAAAAAUCAAACAAAGCAUAGCCUAGAUGAAGUGAGUCUACCAGAAAAGGAAACCAAUUCUUGCAAUAGUGAAGUAGAAGUAAUCCAAUGGGAUGCUCGACUCAAAACGAAUAAUAAAGAGAAAAUGAGCAAAUCAGUUUUCAUACUACCAGCUAGCUAUCGUACUGAGAGCAAAAGCCACAAAUAUAAAGAGUCAUUCGAUACACAUUGAUGAGAAUGUCCUAACACAUGAAUACGGUUGAGAAUAGACACAUGACAACUUCAAAAAAAAAUAAAAAAAUAAAACUACCAUAAAAAAAUCUCGUAGAGCUAACACAAAUAAACAAGUGCUAAGACCUCAAACAAAGCUUGAUCACACUAUAAUAUAAAGGAGAAGCUAAAUUCAAGGGAAGGGAGAAAACAAGCUACCUAAAUACCCAUUCCUGGAGUUCUAAACAGAGGCUUAAACUAGCAAACUAACAAAUCUUUCGAUCUGCCAUAACCAAGGAAUUCCAAUGCUUUCUUAACUCAUGAGUCGAAAUAAUGGCGAAAUAAGAAAAUUCCAACAAUGAGAAUAUGAACUCGGGAGGAGGGAAACAUCAAACUUUCAACGAAAAUGGAAACAAACAACAACAACAUGGACUAGUGAACAAGAUUCAUCACUGAUUUGCAGGUAACAACGAGUCAAAAAUGAUCCCAGACAAUAACGUGUACUCAACUUCGCAUAGCCAAAACUCCAACAACAACACAUUAAGAGUAAAAAGAAGUUUGAACCGAAAAAUGAGUAUUACCUGUCGAGAUGCAGCGAAAUGGGACAGCUAACAAGCUCAAUUUUGACUUCCACCACACGAACCCAAAGCUCGAACAACACACCAAGAGAACCCAAAGGAAACCCGAAUAAUAAGCUCUCCGAAACUCUUGAACUAGAGAGUCUUUGAAGAACUUUUCCGAAUGUAAAAUUGACUAUUCCCAAACCUUGGUAAGCUAUAUUUCGUGGGCAAUUUCUGGCCAACCUAUAUCUCUUUAAAAAAAUUUCCUCUCAAUAAUUCUCUUGACACCCAAACUUCCGACUUCAAAAUAAAAGAAAAAAAAGGCCCCCCUACAAAUGAACGGAAGAGAUUAUUAAAUAGGGGAUAUUUAGGGUAGAUUUUUGGGGGGAAUUCGGGUGAAAACUUUGCCAUUCAAAAUUUGAAAUCAAAAUUCUUUCACCAUUGAAGUGAGGCAUACUUUUUCUGAAAUUUUCGCCCUAUUCCGAAAGAGGAAAGGGGACAGCCGCGUGCCUGCUGCCUGCUGUACGAUUUUCUGGGCUGCUAGCUCAUUUUUUGGUCAUUUUCUGCGUGAAGAAAAAGGGAGAAACGUACAGGGGUCUCUUUGGGGUGUAUGUUGUCGGUUGUUUUUGUACUAUGUUGCUGGAAAUUUGGAUUGUCGGUAAUGGGCUGGGUUAUUGGAGAAUGGGAAUUGAUGAGCUGUUGAUGUUGCCGUAAGUAUUAAUUAUAUGGGGUGGGUCUCUUUUUUGAAUUGUUGCUGUACAUAAUGUUGGUAUUGUUGUUGUAUUGAAUUGGAAAUAUAGAUGGGCCAGGGGUAAUUGGUUUUGUUAUAUGUGUGUAAUGUUGGGUGGGUUGGGAAUGGAAUUGGGCUGAAAAUUAUUGAGAAAAUAGCCCAAAACUUGGUCUCAAAAUGGAUGUAAGGUGGGUAAGGAAAUAUAAUUAGAAGCAAUUGAAGUUAAAAACUUAGCCAAUUUGAAUUUAAUUGAUGAACUUGGCCAAAAUUUAAAUAAGAUGAAUUAGUACAAAUUAAUUAAUGAGCUUUUUAAUUUUAACAAAAUAAAAUAAUCAACUUAAUUAUAAACUAAACUAUUUGAAAUAUAAACUACUAAAGUAAUUAGCCAAAUAUUUGAGUAGAACUAAAAUCUUUUUGAGGUGAUUUUUGAAUAUCCAUAAAAUGUACUAGUUAUGUGUGUAAUUAUAUAAAAGUUAUAUAUUAUUUAAAACUCACAAAAGUAGCAAAUCUAUUUAAAAUAACUUGCAAACUAUAUUAUAUAUAUAUAUAUAUAUAUAUAAUUAUUUUUAAAAUUUUAUAAAGCUAAUUAUUCUAUCGUUUGAAAUUGAAGAAGCUCUAUGAUUAAUUUAUAAUGUAGAGGUCCAAUAUUGGGUGUCAACAACUGUCCCUCGUUUGGCUUGGAUUGAUGAAAGAAAUUCGAGGCAAAUGAAAUUGACAAAUCCAAUUUUGGCCGACCACAUCCUUAUUGAAAAAAGGAUUUUGGUACGGACUUUAGGAAUUAUGGCCGAUCCCCAGAAAUGGGUUUCCUACAUAUCUCAGGCUUAUAUGAGAAUUUAGGCCAUUUGUAGUUCGACGCGCUUAAUUUAACGCAUAAUUUUAGAAGAAUUCCAAAGUCAUCCCGAUACCGAAUUAUGGAGGGAUUGGAAUGCUCGAGAAUAAGAUUUAAGAGCGAAUGUUGGAAUACAACCGAGUUUUCAAUCAUUGAUUCCGCCUACAUAUCCCUCAACUUAGGGAAUCAGGCUGCUUGUAGUUCGACUCAAUCGGUUGAGAAGGAAAUCUAUUAUGCGAGAUAACCUUUGGUUCUGGAGGAGUGACAAAAUGAAUCGAGUAUGAAUAAGAGGCUUGCAACCUCUUAACUAUGAAUGCGGCGCACUUCACACCCACAAUUAAGAACUUACACAGACAUGAUUUCCAAAGCUCUUGGCGCAUCGUCACACAGAUUGGAAAGUUGCUUCCGGUAGAGACCAAAAAUUUUCGAAUGCGAAACUGAAACCGACAAACCUAAAGAUAAACCCACAUGCCUUCUGAUAGGGGUGUGGUUUGAUUGUGGUGGAAGUCGCUCCUCUGCUCGCGUCCUAAGAGCUUGGCACUUCUCUUUGGACUAUGUCCCAGUUCGCUGCUAAGAAAAAGUUCCACGUUGUGCUGCAUCCUUUUUGAUGUCGUCCNNNNNNNNNNNNNNNNNNNNNNNNNNNNNNNNNNNNNNNNNNNNNNNNNNNNNNNNNNNNNNNNNNNNNNNNNNNNNNNNNNNNNNNNNNNNNNNNNNNNNNNNNNNNNNNNNNNNNNNNNNNNNNNNNNNNNNNNNNNNNNNNNNNNNNNNNNNNNNNNNNNNNNNNNNNNNNNNNNNNNNNNNNNNNNNNNNNNNNNNNNNNNNNNNNNNNNNNNNNNNNNNNNNNNNNNNNNNNNCCUUUUUGAUGUCGUCCGCACCUGUGGUUUGUUUUGAGAAUUCAUCCUCUUGAGAUGCUCUCGAAAAAGACUGAGACAAAACUCAUUAGCAUAAAAUGCAAUUCAAAUAGGGAGAUAGUAUCUGUUACCGCGUCGACACUUAAUUUUUCUCCUUGAACAUCUGACCUCAACUUCAUCGGGUUGGAGUAAAGCAAAUAAAGCUUGUGUCUCAUAUAUGCAAUAUAAUCUUCAAUGUACUCUUCCUUUGUUGUCAUUUUGUAAAGAAAAAAUGAUGCAGUCGAUGUUGAUCUUCUUGUGAUGGGUAAAUCUUUCUCUUGCAAUGCAUAACUUCUUUUCCGCGAUGCCUGAAUCCUUCUCUUGCUAUGCAUGAAUCUCUUUCCUGCGAUGCAUGACUUUUUCUUUUGGUAUGCAUGAUUUCUUCUUCUUGCUAUGCAUAAAUAUCUUUCCCGCGAUGUAUGAUUUCUUUUCUGCGAUGCAUGAAUCCUUCUCCUGCUAUUCAUGAGUCUUCUCUUGCUAUGCCUGAAUCUUUUCUUGCGAUGCAUGACUAUCUUUCUCGUGAUGCAUGAAUCUUUUUCCCGCGAUGCAUGAAUCUUCUCUUCUAAUGUAUGAAUCUUCUCUUGCAAUGCAUGAAUCUCUUUUCUUGCGAUGCAUGAAUCCUUUUCCCGCGAUGCAUGAAUCUUCUCUCCCGCGAUGCAUGAAUUUUUCCUCCGCAAUGCAUGACUUUCUUUCCCACAUGCAUGGAUUUUUCCCACGAUGCAUGACUUCUUUUUCGCGAUGCAUGACUCUUCUCUUGCUAUGUAUGAUUUCCUUCUCUUGCAAGGCAUGACUCUUCUUUUUCUAUACAUGAAUCUCUUUCCCGCGAUGCAUAACUUCUCUUUCUAUGCGUAAAUCUCUUUCCCGCGAAGCAUGACUUCUCUUUCUUGCGAUGCAUGGCCUCUUUUUCUUGCUAUGCAUGGAUCUUUGAUGAUGCCUUAUUGAUACCAAACGAAGAUGAUGCUUCACCCAGCAACAUAUGUGAUCUUCUAGGUAUCUCUUGGACAGCGGUAUCGUCUCAAUCGACAAUAUAAAUAAAAUGACCCUUGGAGUAGUGGUAUCAUCUCAUUUGACAAUAUAAAUAAAAAUGACCCUCGGAGUAGUGGUAUCAUCUCAUCUCAUUCGACAAUAUAAAUAAAAAUGACCAUCGGAGUAGUGGUAUCAUCUUAUUUGACAAUACGAUAUAAAUGACUCUCCGGGUAAGAAUAUUAUCAUAUCUGAUAAUAUAAUGCAGAUAAAAGUUUUUCCAGGUAUCUCUAGUUGCUGGAAAAUAAUAAUAAUACUGAUCUCUUUGCGGCUUUCGUUCGUUCCAUCUUUGAACAUAGUUAUACGUUCAUUAUGGACUUCGCCUUGUUGGGAAUUGAAUGAAAUAAUGUUAUUCAUAUUCCAAAAUCUUUGAUAUAUGCAGCAUCAGAUAUUUCCUGCACCUACAGAAAAACUAUCAAUUUUGGGGAGCUCUUUGCCCCUUUGACUUCUCCAUAUUCAUUGAAUGGUGGAAUAUGUUGAUCUUGAGGCAAGCUUAUAGACCUGCGUCCACAGAAAAAUUGUUAGUUUAAAGAAUGAACUGAUCUGUGUCGAUCUCUUUGGUUGUUUGCUCCUUAUCUUGCUAUCUCCGGUUGAUUUCUCCGAUCCCCCGCUUCUUGAUAGUUAAGACAAAACAUUUUUGUGCAAAAAUAAUUGAGACAUGGAGGAAAAGUUUUUAAGGAAAAUAGAUUUUUAAAAGUAAUGUUUGGAAAAAUUCACUGCCAAGUGUCAUGUCACGUCAAGUUUAAUGAACUCUAUUUAGAGGUGAUGUCUCGUGAUCUAUCUGAUUACUUGUUGGGAAGUAUUCAAAGUUGUUCUAAACUGCCGAUAAACCUUGUGGAAAUUUUUAGGCCAUCCUCAAAAUUUCUGCCCCAAUUAACUGUCUUGGUGUAUCUUUAACCGUUGGUGAUCAAAUCACAGAAUUUUUGAAAUCCUUUCAAAAUUCUGUACCGGUUGCAAAUUUCAAAGUAACCUCAGUCUCGAAUUUGUUGGAGAGAUGUUCUUGAGAAUUUUUGAGUCCCUCUCAAAAAUUCUGUCCCAAUUUCUAUUGUAAUAGAAAUCUUACGGGAGACAUGACCGAGCCCUUGUGGCGCCUACGUAUCCCGUUGAGGCAGGAAUCAGGUCAAAUGUAGUUCCCCCUCAAGGAUUAUCAAAGAUAAGAAAAAUUACAAAGAAACUCGACCGAGGCCGACAUAGGUCGCCUACGUAUCUCAUUCUUGAGAAUUCAGGUCAAACAUAGUUCAAAUACAAAGAAAUAUUAGAAGGAGAUAAAGGAGUGACCGAGGCCGACAUAGGCCGCCUACGUAUCACAUUCUUGAGAAUUCAGGUCAGACAUAGUUCAUUUACAAGAGGGAUAAAAUUCUAAACAUAGACGAUUAUGAGCAAAUAGAACGAUUACAAGGAAAUGACAGAAAUAUAGACUGAAACUUCACACAUAAUAUCUUUUGACAGCAUCUGAGUUGAUCGGUUUUGGCCAUUCGGUGCCAUCCAUCUCCGACAGGACCAAGGCACCUCCAGAUAAUACUUUGCGAACCAUGUAGGGUCCUUGCCAAUUUGGCGCGAAUUUCCCUUUGUACUCAUCCUGAUGAGGGAAAAUGCGUUUAAGGAUGAGCUGGCCAAUUUCAAAUAUCCUGGUUCUCACUUUCUUAUGGAAAACACGAAUCAUUCUCUGUCGAUACAGUUGUCCAUGACAAACAGCAACCAUUCUCUUCUCAUCAAUCAAUGUUAACUGAUCGAUCCGCUUGCGAACCCAUUCAGCAUCGUCCAAUUCAGCUUCUUGGAUGAUUCUCAAGGAAGGUAUUUCGACUUCGGCAGGUAUGACUGCCUCUGUUCCAUAUACUAGCAAAUAUGGAGUAGCUCCAACUGAUGUUCUAACAGUCGUUCGAUAACCUAACAAAGCAUACAAUAGCAUCUCAUGCCAACCUAUGCGAUUAUCAAUCAUUUUCCUCAAAAUCUUCUUUAUGUUCUUGUUGGCGGCUUCUACAGCUCCAUUCAUUUGAGGACGAUAGGCGGUUGAGUUUCGGUGAGUAAUCUUGAAUUGUUCACAUAUCUCUCUUAUUAAGUGACUGUUGAGAUUCUCUCCAUUGUCAGUAAUGAUGGAUUCUGGUACUCCAAAUCUACAUAUCAAAUUGUUGCGAACGAAAUCAGCUACAACUUUCUUGGUUACCGAUUUGUACGAAGCUGCUUCCACCCACUUGGUGAAGUAGUCAAUGGCAACCAAAAUGAAUCUGUGUCCGUUAGAGGCGGCUAGCUCUAUUGGACCAAUGACAUCCAUGCCCCAAGCUACAAAUUGCCAAGGUGAACUCAUAGUAUUAAGUUCGUGAGGCGGUACUCGAAUCAAAUCACCAUGCCCUUGACAUUUAUGACACUUCUGCACAAACUUGCAACAAUCAUGCUCCACAGUCAUCCAAAAAUAACCGGCUCGGAGGAUCUUUCUUGCUAAAGUGAGCCCGUUCAUGUGAGUACCACAAACUCCGGCAUGUAUCUGUUCCAGAAGCUUUGCAGCUUCAUUAGCAUUGACGUAUCUGAGAAGACCUAAAUCUGGAGUCCUCCUGUAAAGGAUUUCCCCACUUGCAAAGAAUUGAGGGCCAUACGGCGUAUCGACUUCUUCUGAUUGAACGUUGCAUUCUCAGGAUAAGACCCCGUCUUCUAAAUACUUCUUGAUGUCAAAAUACCAAGGCAGACCAUCUGGUUCCGCUUCAACAUGCGAACAAUGGACAAGCUGCUCUUUUACCUCUAUAUCCAUUGGAUCAAUAUAACUUGUAUCUGGAUGUUUAAUCAUUGAGGCGAUGGUGGCAAGAGCAUCAGCCAACUCAUUCUGUGUCCUGGGAGUGUGCCUGGAUUCAAUCUUGCGAAAUCUCUUGCACAACUUCUGUAUAUACUACACAUACGGUGUUAUCUUUGGAUUCUUCACAGCCCAUUCACCUUGAACUUGAUGAAUUGUAAAUCUGAAUCUCCAAUAACCAACAGCUCGUGAACGUUCAUAUCAAUUGCCAUCUUCAGACCGAUGAUGCAAGCUUCAUACUCAGCCAUGUUGUUUGUGCAAUUAAAUCGGAGUUUAGCCGCCAUAGGAUAAUGCUGACCGGAUUUUGAUACUAAGACCUCUCCGAUACCUUUCCCUUGGUGAUUCGCCGCUCCAUCAAAGAAUACUCUCCAACCAAGGUAGGCUUCAGAAAUAUCUUCACCCAUAAAUGAAACUUCCUCGUCAGGAAAAUAGGUCUUGAGCGGUUCAUACUCCUCAUCAACUGGAUUCUCUGCAAGAUGAUCGGCCAAGGCUUGUGCUUUUAUCGCUUUUUGAGUCACAUACACAUUGUCAAACUCACUCACAAGCAUUUGCCAUUUAGCCAAUUUCUCGGUCGGCAUUGCUUUCUGGAAAAUAUACUUCAACGGGUCCAUCUUGGAAAUAAGGUACGUGGUAUAAGAAGAUAAAUAAUGUCUUAACUUCUGAGCAAUCCAAGUCAAAGCACAACAUGUCCUCUCUAACAGAGUGUAACGAGCCUCAUAUGGAGUGAAUUUUUUGCUCAAGUAAUAGAUGACUUGCUCCUUCUUCCCUGUUUCAUCAUGUUGACCAAGCACGCAUCCCAAUGCGUUAUCUGAGACAGACAAAUAUAGCAAUAAUGGACUCCCUUCUCGCGGAGGGACCAACACCGGCGGAUUGGACAAAUAGGUCUUGAUGGCAUCAAAAACAGUUUGGCAUUCUCCGGUCCAAAGCAGUUUGACAUUCUCCGGUCCACUUGGUCGAGGCAUCUUUUUUCAAUAGCUUAAAAAUGGGUUCACACACCACGGUGGAUUGAGCUAUGAACCGGCUGAUGUAGUUCAACCUUCCUAAGAAACUCAUCACCUCUUUCUUGGUCUUCGGAGGAGGUAAUUCCUGAAUUGCCUUGAUCUUGGAAGGGUCAAGCUCAAUGCCCCUCCUGCUGACUAUAAAUCCCAACAACUUGCCAGCUGGCACCCCAAAAGCACAUUUGGCUGGAUUUAACUUCAAAUUGUAUCGACGCAGACGAUCAAAGAAUUUUCUCAAGUGAGUCAAGUGAUCCGAACUCUCGCGGGACUUGAUUAUGACAUCAUCUACAUACACUUCGAUCUCUUUGUGAAUCAUAUCGUGAAAGAUGGUUGUCAUGGCCCUCAUUUAAGUAGCACCGGCAUUCUUGAGACCAAAAGGCGUCACCCGAUAAUGAUAUACACCCCAAGGCGUGAUGAAAGCUGUCUUUUCUGCAUCAUCUUCAUCUAUCAGGAUCUGGUGGUAACCCGCAUAACAAUCCACAAAUGAUUGCAUCUCAUGCUUAGCGCAGUUCUCAAUGAGGAUGUGAAUGUUUGGCAAUGGAAAAUAUCUUUCGGGCUAGCUUUGUUGAGAUCUCUGUAGUCGACACAAAUUCUAAUCUUUCCGUCUUUCUUGGCAACCGGCACAACAUUGGCUAACCAAGUCGAAUAUUGCGUCACUUCCACUACUUGAGACUCGAUCUGUUUUGUAAUCUCCUCUUUGAUCUACAAACUCAACUCAGGCUUGAACUUCCGAGUCUUUUGUUUACUGGACUGAAAUAUGGAUUGAUCGGCAACUUGUGGGACACCAUAUUCGUGCUCAGCCCUGGCAUGUCUUUAUAAGACCAAGCAAAUACAUCAAUGUACUCUCUGAGCAAACGAACCAGGUCUCUUCUUUGGGCUUCAGUCAGAUGGACACUGAUUCUGACUUCUUUGACACAUUCAUCAUCUCCGAGAUUCACAGUUUCAGUUUCUUCAAGAUUUGGCUUGUGUUGAUUCUCGAAUUGUCGAAACUCCUCAACAACAUGUUCGGGUACCUCAUUUUCUUCUUCAUAUUCCUCACACUCGUCAUCACCUGCCUCAUUUAGUUCACUCCGUUCAUGACAUGACAUGACAUGACAUUGACAGGUUUUAAAUUAAUAUUACUGAAAUCAUAAACAAACAAAGUUAGGAAAGUAAAAUAUAAACAGAUAAGUAAACAAACAAAUUUCGAUAAAAGAGGCUUUUCAUUUAAAUUGAAAGACAAGCACAAACUUUGGCCAUGGCCGAGGGUCAUUUUGCCCUUUUAAAAUCACAAGGGAAUUUAAAAGCUUAGGUUCUUCAUCUCUGCUUCAUCAGCAUCUGUGGGGACAUGUCUCAAACCAAACUUUGCUCCUCUAGCAGGAAUUUGGACAGGCUCGACAAUUCCUUGAAAGUGCUUUCCCAUUCUGAAACCUGGUUCUAAACUGCUCUGGAGCAUGAUAGUAGCAAUCAUCUUGUACACAGAGGGUAUGUGAGGUUGCGGAGCCAAAUUAUCACCGGUGGCAUUUACCAACUCCACCAUGUAAAAAUCGCAACCUCGAGAUACCUCAUCAACGAUUGGCGCAUACCCAUCGGAAUGACUCCCCUCACCAGGAAUGACCAAUUCCUGGUCCUUCAAAACAAAUUUUAUCAGUUGGUGAAGGGUAAAAGGAACAGCCCCAACCAUGUGGAUAAACAGUCUUCCCAUAAGCAAAUUGUCCAACACCUGGAACUCGACGUUGAAUUCUGCAGAACCCACCCGAAUAUGCAAGUUCACCGCACCCAAUGUGUCUCUUUGCACUCCAUCAAAAGCCCUCACAUUUACUUGGUUCUGGUGAAGCUUUCCCAAAUCAAAUUUUAGCUGCCUUAGAGUUGAAAGUUGGCAAAUAUUAAGACCGGAUCUGUCAUCGACCAAGACGCGAUUUAUUAUCUUGUCUCGACACAUAGUGGUGACGUGCAAAGCUUUGUUGUGCAUCUUGCCUUCAAAGGGCAGCUCUUCGUCACAAAAACUAAUUCGAUGUCCUCGGAUGGCUUGGUUAUCAUGGCUGCUAGAUUGUCACUGUUGGUACCCACGGGCACAUAAGUAUCAUCCAGAGCCUUCAUCAACGCUUGCCUAUGCAGUUGUGAACUCAUUAACAAAGCCCAUACAGAAAUCUAAGCUGGUAUCUUCUCCAAAUGCUUUACAAUUGAAUAAUCUUUCGGCUGCAUUUUCCUCCAGAACUCUUCGGCUUCAGCUUCNNNNNNNNNNNNNNNNNNNNNNNNNNNNNNNNNNNNNNNNNNNNNNNNNNNNNNNNNNNNNNNNNNNNNNNNNNNNNNNNNNNNNNNNNNNNNNNNNNNNNNNNNNNNNNNNNNNNNNNNNNNNNNNNNNNNNNNNNNNNNNNNNNNNNNNNNNNNNNNNNNNNNNNNNNNNNNNNNNNNNNNNNNNNNNNNNNNNNNNNNNNNNNNNNNNNNNNNNNNNNNNNNNNNNNNNNNNNNNNNNNNNNNNNNNNNNNNNNNNNNNNNNNNNNNNNNNNNNNNNNNNNNNNNNNNNNNNNNNNNNNNNNNNNNNNNNNNNNNNNNNNNNNNNNNNNNNNNNNNNNNNNNNNNNNNNNNNNNNNNNNNNNNNNNNNNNNNNNNNNNNNNNNNNNNNNNNNNNNNNNNNNNNNNNNNNNNNNNNNNNNNNNNNNNNNNNNNNNNNNNNNNNNNNNNNNNNNNNNNNNNNNNNNNNNNNNNNNNNNNNNNNNNNNNNNNNNNNNNNNNNNNNNNNNNNNNNNNNNNNNNNNNNNNNNNNNNNNNNNNNNNNNNNNNNNNNNNNNNNNNNNNNNNNNNNNNNNNNNNNNNNNNNNNNNNNNNNNNNNNNNNNNNNNNNNNNNNNNNNNNNNNNNNNNNNNNNNNNNNNNNNNNNNNNNNNNNNNNNNNNNNNNNNNNNNNNNNNNNNNNNNNNNNNNNNNNNNNNNNNNNNNNNNNNNNNNNUGGGGUUUGGUACAUUGGGGGAGGUGUUUGGUAAUUUGUCUGAAUGUUGGAACAGUUGGGGGCGGCAUUUCGGUAGUGAUGAGAUGGAGUCUGGUAAACUGGAGGGGGAGUUUAGUAGAUAGUAAGGGGAGUAUUUAAUCUUUCCGGUUCUCAAUCCAUCUUCGAUAGUCUCACCUACCUUAACUAUCUCAGCAAAUUUUGCUCCAACGAGCAACAUAAUUCUGUCAUAAUAUUCGGGCUCUUGCACCCGCACAAACACCUCGACAAUUUCCUUUUCUGACAUAGGAGGUCUAACUCUAGCUGCCUCCUUUCGCCAUCUAUAUGCGAAUUCUCUAUAGCUUUCGGUCGACUUCUGUUUCAUCUUCUUCAAGGAGUAGCGAUCAGGAACGAUCUCCACAUUGUAGGCGAAUCGUUCGAUGAAGUCCUUAGCCAAAGCAUUCCAUCUAGACCACUGUCUCGUUUCAUGAAACGUAAACCAUUCUAGAGCCUCUCCGCUCAGACUUCGGCUAAAAAGCCGCAUUAACAAAGCUUCGUCUCUCCCAACUCCCACGAGUUGGUCACAGUAGUCCCUCAAGUGUGCUAAGGGGUUCCCUGUUCCUCCGAAGAUGUCAUAUUUUGGCACUUUGAACCCUUCCGGGAGGUCCAAAUUCGGAUGAAUGCACAGAUCUUCGUAACUCAACCCAGCGACUUCAGGAAUGCAGUUCAACUCCUUCAUGGCUUUUCUAAUUUCCUCCUUCACAUCUAUCUUGGCGGUCUCUUCCUUUGACCUCCACUCUCUCUCUCUCUCCUCAUAGUGGUCGAGCUCCGAACCAUGGGCGUUAUGCUCGUUGGGGACUGGUAUUUGGAAAGUGCGUUUUUGAGUGACUUGAUAAUUUUGAGGGAAAGUCUGAGGGUUGGUAUGUUGAUUUUGGUGAUGGAGGGAAAUGUGCGGGCGAUUAACAUUUUGGCUAUGAGGGGGUAGGCCAGUUUGGUGGUUCGCAUUGGGGGAAGAGAGUGGUGCUUGGAGGCUGGUAUUUUGAGGAGGGGGUGGUGUUUGAUAAGAGGCUGAGGCGUAAUGAGGGUUUUGGGUGGUAAGGUCAAAAAUGAAGGGAUUACGAGUAGGACUUGAAGGCGGGUUCUGAGCUUGUUCCACGUUAGGAGAGGGAAUUUGAGCUGGAGGUCUUCCGUCUGGUUGGCGUAAUGAGGGUUUUCUCUGCAUCUCGAUCCUCAUCUCAGCAAUUUGUUGCAUCAACUGUAGGAUCAGUUCAUUCUGAUCAGCAAGGGCGGGUUGACCCACCACGACAUCAGUAAGGCUGAUUUCUUCGUUGUUAUCACCCAUUGUUGUUUUCCCUUUUGUGAACUUUGACUGGGGAAGGAAUAUGUAGGACCUUUAGAUCUAGUGAAAUAAGGAUGAUCAGCCAGUGUAUCAACACAGAUCAGUUCUGGAUGAAUAAUGCAAGAUAUCACAUAGAAAACAGAUAAACACAUAAAAGUUGCUUUGUCUGAGAACAUGUUAACCCACGAAUAAUGGGGACUGACUUUUUAACAAGCAGGAAUUUGCUUGUUUUUCUAUUGAGAUUGGUGUCUCAGAAAGUUUAAAUUGCGUUGAACUAAGGCCUUCUUGCUGCAUCUUUUGGCAUCUGUUGAUCUGAACUCAAUGUUUCCAUAUAGAAUGAAAGAGGGGAAAAGGAAAAUUUGAAAAAGAUAGGGGCCGGGCCUUGAAAGGCUGCCUACAUAUCUCCGAAGGAGAAUUCAGGCCCUACGUAGUUCGAAUACAAAAGGAAAUUCUCAUCUUCAUUCAUUCAUUUUGAUUGAUUACAAGGAAAGUGAAAAGAAAACAUGCAAUAAAACUCCUAAAAGAUAGAUGGUGCCUUCACCGAAGCUCCUUCCUCUGACUGCCGUAUUAGCCACGGGGGGUAAACUUAUAUGCUUCGGGGGCGGUUUCCUCAUUCUCUUCUUUCCACCGUCCCUUGAAAUGAGGUCUAUAGACUCUUCAACAGAUUCAGGUCCAGUGCCUUCAGGACCACUGUUGGUGGCCUUUUGGUUGAAGAAAGGGUAUUUUCUAUGUAGUUUUUCAAGCCUCAUGGUUAUAUCAUUGUUGAAAGCAUCAUGUUCCUUCCGCAUAGCAACCGUCUCCUCGUUCAUUACAGCAUAUCUUGCCAUCUUAGCCGCUAACUCCGCGUCCAGUGCUUCACUUUUGGCUUGCGCAGCUGCGGUGGCUAAUUCUACUUCUAUUCCUCUUUCUCCCAUCUCUCGAAUCUCUUGUUUGAGUCGACGCAGUUUCAUCCUUAGACUCUCCUCAAUCGUUUUCACUUCGACAUUCUUGCUCUUUUCCAUUUUAGCAGCAAUUUUACCUUUCCUGAGAUGAUAGAGUAACAUUUUAGGAUUUGGUCGUAGGAUUUUAUUUCUGGCUGAGAAACUCAAGACUCGUGGAAUUUUGGUCGGACAUUUUGGUAGUGACUUGUAUUUGGCAUUUUUCAGAAGUUUUGACAAGGAGUGGGCUAAGAAUGUCCUCAUUCAAAGCAACGUAUCACAUAAACAGUUAAAGCACCCAAGUAAAUAGACAAAUAUCGCGUCCUAAACAUGCAUGUGAGCCUUUUGUGCCAAGGGUAAGCCUAGCGAAUUGAAGGAUGUAUAUGUCUUUUUAAGCCAAUUCAUUAUCCCCAAAAUAUUUCAUUAAUAGCAUUCAAAAAUGUUUAACAAACAUAAAAUUGGGGAGAAGAGUUCGAAAAAUAAAUCACAAGACAAAGUACAAAUAAAGCAAUCCCACGUAGGGGAUGAUAAUAAACUUCAAGCUCAUCUUGAUCCUUCUCCAAGUCUGGUCCUCUUGGCGAUGCCGACCUCUUCCCACAUAGCAUAUUUGUUCGCCCAUAGGUGAUCACUCGCCAACCGAGCCCCUUCUUGAUGUCUGAACCUCUCGACCGACUGAAUCUGCUGCUCCAUGCUAUCAUCUAAUUCUAACAUACAUUGCCUGGAUUUUUGUAGCUCUUGCUUCAACUGAGUUAUGAUUUUAGCGUCUUCUGAGUGUCGACGUUGAUGCUCUAACUCAUUCCUAUCAAACCUUUCUUGGAGUUGAUGAAGUCGGAUUUGAUGCUUGCCUCCAACAUCUGCAAUAAUAUGGGGAACGUUUGGAUGGGGUUCGAUAGUUCCGGCGAGACUCUUCUUUAACCAUUCUUUGUAAUCCUUAGAAUAUUCCGGACGAAACCUAUUUGGCACCGGCUCACCCAAUACCCUUCGAGUCUUCCAUAAGUGAAGCAUCUUUUUAGUAAAAGUGACUUCGCCCUUUUCAUGCUCCGUCACAAAUCUUGUCAUGUCUUUUAUUUGAGGAAGAUCUUGUUUCCCUCCUAGCUGUCUAAGUACUCGAGAAGGAGCAUAUGACCGAGUUCCUCUCAACCCAACAAAUAUUAAGUAGGGGGUCUUUCCACUUAGGAUCACAAUUUGUUUUGUUACUACCAAGCAUUGCAUAGACCACUGCACAUUUUCCUCUCUCAAACCCUGAAGUCUCGGGUACCAAAACUCUUGGCCUCCAGUCCUGUUGAAAUGAUUACGUUGCACCCACCAAUCGUGACUUUCGAGCAUGUUCGGUCUUUCCAAGAUAUCUGGUUCUAUUGGAUCAUGAGCUUUAAUCAAGUGUCUCACCAUCCACCAUUGAAGUAUCAGGUUGCACCCUUGAAAGAAACGUGUACCGCUUUUGCAUCUAUCCAAUGCCCUGUAAAUAUCAGCAAGGAUCAUAGAGGCCAAAUUAUAGUACUUUCUUACAGGCCCAUAGCCUAGUCCAUUAAAAAUAGCAUGGGUAACCAUUACUACACUUGGAUGGAUGGUGUAGUUCGGUCCUUGGGGAAAUACCAUUGUCCCAAGUAGACAUAUCGCAAAAGCGAGGGGGUGUGUUUCCUUCCAUUUUUCUUCCGAAACAAACUCUUCUUUGAACUUCUCGUAAGCUCUUGCAUGUCCAAAUUGAUAAUACAACUUCCGAAGUGGAAUAUUUGACCCGGGCAGCCUGUCCAUCCAUUCAGCUUUGACGAGUGACAAUUUUUCUUUGAUUUCGGCAAAAUCCCAUACUUUUGGAAAGAGAAGAUCAGUAUCGGGUUGGUGUUUCCUCUUGUUGCACAUGCCGACGCUCUCGUAACUUGCAAGAACUUCAUCUAUAGUCGGGGUCAACUCUACUUCCCCAAACCGAAAUACCAUGUUGUUGUUGUCCCAAAAUUUUACCAUCGUUCCAAUCAAGUCCGGGUAAGCCACCAUUUCCAUUAAUGACGGUAGAUGGCCUAUAUGUCUUUGCACUUUCUUUUUAUCUUCCUUGUUAAUGAAUUUCCAUCAAACUUGGAGGUAAGGAUCAGGUAUAGUCACCAUUCGGGUUCUCAACGACUCAAACGUCAGAUUCAUCCUACAAGAAAAACAAAUAAAGGUAAGUUUAACCCCCACCCCCACUUGAUAAUUGAUUUGUUUAAAAAUGGCAUAUACAUCCUUCAAUUAAAACACAUAAGUAUGAUUGUUUUUUUAUUAGCAAAUGGGCCAAAUAGACACAAUGUGGGCUUCUAAUGGGCCCAACACGCCUUGAGUGUUGGGUUGACCUAGUUCAAAAAUGCGCUAAAAAAUUGGGAUUUGGUUUCGCUCUACGCUAGUUGACUAAGAGUGGCUUUGAAAGACCGGAAACCCAAGUGGACAACUUAGGCUGAAAUUCACGACAACCAUUGGACGCAUGACGUACCAAUAAAUUGUCGAUCCUUCCGAAAAAGGGUUGAGUAUAAAAAGUCCGACUGCGAUUAUUGCAGAAACCAUCCUUAAUAUACUAUACAUAUAAUAGGAAGAUGUCAUGAAUACAAUGACAGUUAACAAAUUAAACACGUUGAGAGCGGAUAAACAGUUUAGCAAUUAAUACAAUUAGUCAAAUAAGUCAAAUCUUAUGGUUAGAACUUAAUUAAGUCCCCAGCAGAGUCGUCAUUUCUGUUCUACUUAAAAAGAUAUAUACAAGGAAAAUGACUGAGUUUUCAAAAAAUCGAUUAAACUUAUAGUUUAAGAGAAAUCGAAUUUCAAAAAGAACAGAGUCGCCACUUAUUUUUUUUAGUAAAAAUCAAGAAAAAACCUAAGGCUUUCAAAAUAUUUAAACAGAUAAAAUCAAUUGAAAAAGGGUUCGAGUUAAAAUGUACAUUCCGAGAAGGUGUUAGGCCCUCGGAAUGCCCGCUAACUUGCGGUUGAUCGACGAUUUGACCAAAAUGAUUUUGACUAAUUUUAAAAUUUAACUUAAGUAAAAUAAUUCAUUUAUUUUAACUAAUAUUUUUGUUUUUAAAAAAAAAUUUAACUAAGUAAAGAACUCACGACUUUGACUAAUUUUGAAAGUUUAAUGAAGUAAAAGAACUCAUUUGUUUUAACUAGUUAUUUUAAAAAUUUAACUAAGUAAACAAACUCAUUUAUUUUAACUCAUUUAUUUAUUACAAUUAUUAUUUUUUAUCAUUUUUAUUAAUAUUAAGGCGGAAUGAACUAAAGGGGGAUUCUCUAAAGGGGAAUAGUUCAUGAAAUGUCAACAAGACUAAUAUUAAAAUAAAAACUAAGUAAUAAAAUAUAUACUUUGAUUUGAAAAUAAAAUGAAAUGACCAUUCUUGGGGAAUUUAAUUAAAUUAAACCAUAAGUUAACCAAAACAUUAGUUAAAUACAACAAAAUAAAGAAGAGAAAGGAGAGGAGUACUGAACUUGGGGCCAAAGGCCCAAAUUCCCAAUCUUAAUAACAUGUCCUAAAUCUAAAGUUGCCAAAUAAUGGGUUAGCCCAUUUAAAUCCAAAAGCUGCUGGUACUCAUUAUAUUGGGCCUUUGGGCCCAUUUUUCGCCACCUGGAUCUGCUGGCACAAAGAGAUUGAGCUUUGGCCCGUUUGUAUUUUGAAAGCAUGUAUACACGUGCGCAUAUUGAGUAUACGAACGUAUACGGUCCAUUUAUGGACUUUCUCGUAUCUGUAAUUAAUUCUCGUCCCUGUAUUUUCUCCCUUUUCACUUCGAAGAAGAUGAUGCUUUUGAAGAGAUUCGACUCGAUGCGAAGAUGGAGUCCAAUGGACUCGGGUGGUGUCACAUGAAGUAAAAUAAAAUAAAUUAGUGAGGAGGCCAUGUUUAGAUGAAAUAAAUAUAUUUGAUGCAGGCCAUAUUUUGGUAAAUUAAUUAUUAGAAAACCUAUUCAAAACACCUAGUUGGAGAAAAGGCUGUCAAUAGCUUAUCUCAAGCCGACAACAAUUUAAUUUGAAAGCAAUAAAACACAUACAUAUGAAGAAUUGAUCUUAAUCCUACGACAGUAAGCAAAAGUAUGUGUCAUAGUGUAGAUAAAUGUGUCAUAAAGGUAGGUAUGGUGUGGGUAUGGUGUGUCAUAUUAUAUUUGACAAGUGUAGUAUUUGUAAAGGAAGUAGGAUGGGUAGUACGUAAGAUGCAAUUAAGUCACUACAGGAGCUUAAGUAUUUUAACAAAAAAAUAAUAAUAAUAAAUAAAUAAAUAAAUAAAAUAAAAUAAAAUAAAAAAUCAAACAAAGCAUAGCCUAGAUGAAGUGAGUCUACCAGAAAGGAACCAAUUCUUGCAAUAGUGAAGUAGAAGUAAUCCAAUGGGAUGCUCGACUCAAAACGAAUAAUAAAGAGAAAAUGAGCAAAUCAAUUUUCAUACUACCAGCUAGCUAUCGUACUGAGAGCAAAAUCCACAAAUAUAAAGAGUCAUUCGAUACACAAUGAUGAGAAUGUCCUUACUGAGAGCAAAAGCCACAAAUAUAAAGAGUCAUUCGAUACACAUUGAUGAGAAUGUCCGAACACAUGAAUACGGUUGAGAAUAGACACAUGACAACUUCAAAAAAAAAUAAAAAAAUAAAACUACCAUAAAAAAAUCUCGUAGAGCUAACACAAAUAAACAAGUGCUAAGACCUCAAACAAAGCUUGAUCACACUAUAAUAUAAAGGAGAAGCUAAAUUCAAGGGAAGGGAGAAAACAAGCUACCUAAAUACCCAUUCCUGGAGUUCUAAACAGAGGCUUAAACUAGCAAACUAACAAAUCUUUCGAUCUGCCAUAACCAAGGAAUUCCAAUGCUUUCUUAACUCAUGAGUCGAAAUAAUGGCGAAAUAAGAAAAUUCCAACAAUGAGAAUAUGAACUCGGGAGGAGGGAAACAUCAAACUUUCAACGAAAAUGGAAACAAACAACAACAACAUGGACUAGUGAACAAGAUUCAUCACUGAUUUGCAGGUAACAACGAGUCAAAAAUGAUCCCAGACAAUAACGUGUACUCAACUUCGCAUAGCCAAAACUCCAACAACAACACAUUAAGAGUAAAAAGAAGUUUGAACCGAAAAAUGAGUAUUACCUGUCGAGAUGUAGCGAAAUGGGACAGCUAACGAGCUCAAUUUUGACUUCCACCACACGAACCCAAAGCUCGAACAACACACCAAGAAAACCCAAAGGAAACCCGAAUAAUAAACUCUCCGAAACUCUUGAACUAGAGAGUCUUUCAAGAACUUUUCCGAAUGUAAAAUUGACUAUUCCCAAACCUUGGUAAGCUAUAUUUCGUGGGCAAUUUCUGGCCAACC